This 295-nucleotide ribosomal RNA is filed under the name Segatella copri DSM 18205. RNAcentral's name for it is "Prevotella copri DSM 18205 partial 16S ribosomal RNA". It matches the Rfam family "Bacterial small subunit ribosomal RNA", at positions 524 to 821 of the family's 1533-position model. The record is from RNAcentral. Lineage: Bacteria; Pseudomonadati; Bacteroidota; Bacteroidia; Bacteroidales; Prevotellaceae.
UACGGAAGGUCCGGGCGUUAUCCGGAUUUAUUGGGUUUAAAGGGAGCGUAGGCCGGAGAUUAAGCGUGUUGUGAAAUGUAGACGCUCAACGUCUGCACUGCAGCGCGAACUGGUUUCCUUGAGUACGCACAAAGUGGGCGGAAUUCGUGGUGUAGCGGUGAAAUGCUUAGAUAUCACGAAGAACUCCGAUUGCGAAGGCAGCUCACUGGAGCGCAACUGACGCUGAAGCUCGAAAGUGCGGGUAUCGAACAGGAUUAGAGACCCUAGUAGUCCGCAGUAGUCCGGCUGACUGACU